UGGGGAAUAUUGUACAAUGGGCGAAAGCCUGAUCCAGCCAUGCCGCGUGAGUGAUGAAGGCCCUAGGGUUGUAAAGCUCUUUUGUGCGGGAAGAUAAUGACGGUACCGCAAGAAUAAGCCCUGGCUAACUUCGUGCCAGCAGCCGCGGUAAUACGAAGGGGGCUAGCGUUGCUCGGAAUCACUGGGCGUAAAGGGUGCGUAGGCGGGUUUCUAAGUCAGAGGUGAAAGCCUGGAGCUCAACUCCAGAACUGCCUUUGAUACUGGAAGUCUUGAGUAUGGCAGAGGUGAGUGGAACUGCGAGUGUAGAGGUGAAAUUCGUAGAUAUUCGCAAGAACACCAGUGGCGAAGGCGGCUCACUGGGCCAUUACUGACGCUGAGGCACGAAAGCGUGGGGAGCAAA
RNAcentral lists this ribosomal RNA (400 nucleotides) under uncultured bacterium. RNAcentral's name for it is "bacterial SSU rRNA". It matches the Rfam family "Bacterial small subunit ribosomal RNA", at positions 355 to 772 of the family's 1533-position model. The record is from RNAcentral.